UCGAACGGUAGCACAGAGAGCUUGCUCUUGGGUGACGAGUGGCGGACGGGUGAGUAAUGUCUGGGAAACUGCCCGAUGGAGGGGGAUAACUACUGGAAACGGUAGCUAAUACCGCAUAACGUCGCAAGACCAAAGUGGGGGACCUUCGGGCCUCACACCAUCGGAUGUGCCCAGAUGGGAUUAGCUAGUUGGUGAGGUAAUGGCUCACCAAGGCGACGAUCCCUAGCUGGUCUGAGAGGAUGACCAGCCACACUGGAACUGAGACACGGUCCAGACUCCUACGGGAGGCAGCAGUGGGGAAUAUUGCACAAUGGGCGCAAGCCUGAUGCAGCCAUGCCGCGUGUAUGAAGAAGGCCUUCGGGUUGUAAAGUACUUUCAGCGAGGAGGAAGGCAUUGUGGUUAAUAACCGCAGUGAUUGACGUUACUCGCAGAAGAAGCACCGGCUAACUCCGUGCCAGCAGCCGCGGUAAUACGGAGGGUGCAAGCGUUAAUCGGAAUUACUGGGCGUAAAGCGCACGCAGGCGGUCUGUCAAGUCGGAUGUGAAAUCCCCGGGCUCAACCUGGGAACUGCAUUCGAAACUGGCAGGCUAGAGUCUUGUAGAGGGGGGUAGAAUUCCAGGUGUAGCGGUGAAAUGCGUAGAGAUCUGGAGGAAUACCGGUGGCGAAGGCGGCCCCCUGGACAAAGACUGACGCUCAGGUGCGAAAGCGUGGGGAGCAAACAGGAUUAGAUACCCUGGUAGUCCACGCCGUAAACGAUGUCUAUUUGAAGGUUGUUCCCUUGAGGAGUGGCUUUCGGAGCUAACGCGUUAAAUAGACCGCCUGGGGAGUACGGCCGCAAGGUUAAAACUCAAAUGAAUUGACGGGGGCCCGCACAAGCGGUGGAGCAUGUGGUUUAAUUCGAUGCAACGCGAAGAACCUUACCUACUCUUGACAUCCACAGAAUUUGCUAGAGAUACCUUAGUGCCUUCGGGAACUCUGAGACAGGUGCUGCAUGGCUGUCGUCAGCUCGUGUUGUGAAAUGUUGGGUUAAGUCCCGCAA
This 1039-nucleotide ribosomal RNA is filed under the name bacterium. RNAcentral's name for it is "bacterial SSU rRNA". It matches the Rfam family "Bacterial small subunit ribosomal RNA", at positions 62 to 1092 of the family's 1533-position model. The record is from RNAcentral.